CGUGUAGGCGGGUCUUUAAGUCAGGGGUGAAAUGCCAAGGCUCAACCUUGGAACUGCCCUUGAUACUGGAGAUCUUGAGUCCGGGAGAGGUGAGUGGAACUGCGAGUGUAGAGGUGAAAUUCGUAGAUAUUCGCAAGAACACCAGUGGCGAAGGCGGCUCACUGGCCCGGAACUGACGCUGAGACGCGAAAGCGUGGGGAGCAAACAGGAUUAGAUACCCUGGUAGUCCACGCUGUAAACGAUGGAUGCUAGCCGUUGGGGAGCUUGCUCUUCAGUGGCGCAGCUAACGCUUUAAGCAUCCCGCCUGGGGAGUACGGUCGCAAGAUUAAA
This 330-nucleotide ribosomal RNA is filed under the name uncultured bacterium. RNAcentral describes it as "bacterial SSU rRNA". It matches the Rfam family "Bacterial small subunit ribosomal RNA", at positions 568 to 898 of the family's 1533-position model. The record is from RNAcentral.